RNAcentral lists this ribosomal RNA (617 nucleotides) under uncultured bacterium. RNAcentral's name for it is "bacterial SSU rRNA". It matches the Rfam family "Bacterial small subunit ribosomal RNA", at positions 79 to 692 of the family's 1533-position model. The record is from RNAcentral.
CUUGCUUCUCUUGAGAGCGGCGGACGGGUGAGUAAUGCCUAGGAAUCUGCCUGGUAGUGGGGGAUAACGUUCGGAAACGGACGCUAAUACCGCAUACGUCCUACGGGAGAAAGCAGGGGACCUUCGGGCCUUGCGCUAUCAGAUGAGCCUAGGUCGGAUUAGCUAGUUGGUGGGGUAAUGGCUCACCAAGGCGACGAUCCGUAACUGGUCUGAGAGGGUGAUCAGUCACACUGGAACUGAGACACGGUCCAGACUCCUACGGGAGGCAGCAGUGGGGAAUAUUGGACAAUGGGCGAAAGCCUGAUCCAGCCAUGCCGCGUGUGUGAAGAAGGUCUUCGGAUUGUAAAGCACUUUAAGUUGGGAGGAAGGGUUGUAGAUUAAUACUCUGCAAUUUUGACGUUACCGACAGAAUAAGCACCGGCUAACUCUGUGCCAGCAGCCGCGGUAAUACAGAGGGUGCAAGCGUUAAUCGGAAUUACUGGGCGUAAAGCGCGCGUAGGUGGUUUGUUAAGUUGGAUGUGAAAUCCCCGGGCUCAACCUGGGAACUGCAUUCAAAACUGACUGACUAGAGUAUGGUAGAGGGUGGUGGAAUUUCCUGUGUAGCGGUGAAAUGCGUA